Molecule: ribosomal RNA, 496 nt
Filed under: uncultured bacterium
Lineage: Bacteria
Description: partial 16S ribosomal RNA
Rfam family: Bacterial small subunit ribosomal RNA
Source: RNAcentral
AUGAACGCUGGCGGCGUGCCUAAUACAUGCCAGUCGAGCGAACAGACGAGGAGCUUGCUCCUCUGACGUUAGCGGCGGACGGGUGAGUAACACGUGGAUAACCUACCUAUAAGACUGGGAUAACUUCGGGAAACCGGAGCUAAUACCGGGUAAUAUAUUGAACCGCAUGGUUCAAUAGUGAAAGACGGUUUUGCUGUCACUUAUAGAUGGAUCCGCGCCGCAUUAGCUAGUUGGUAAGGUAACGGCUUACCAAGGCGACGAUGCGUAGCCGACCUGAGAGGGUGAUCGGCCACACUGGAACUGAGACACGGUCCAGACUCCUACGGGAGGCAGCAGUAGGGAAUCUUCCGCAAUGGGCGAAAGCUUGACGGAGCAACGCCGCGUGAGUGAUGAAGGUCUUCGGAUCGUAAAACUCUGUUAUUAGGGAAGAACAAAUGUGUAAGUAACUAUGCACGUCUUGACGGUACCUAAUCAGAAAGCCACGGCUAACUACGUG